AGUGAACGCUGGCGGUAGGCCUAACACAUGCCAGUCAAACGGCAGCACAGUAAGAGCUUGCUCUUACGGGUGGCGAGUGGCGGACGGGUGAGGAAUACAUCGGAAUCUACUUUUUCGUGGGGGAUAACGUAGGGAAACUUACGCUAAUACCGCAUACGACCUACGGGUGAAAGCAGGGGAUCUUCGGACCUUGCGCGAUUGAAUGAGCCGAUGUCGGAUUAGCUAGUUGGCGGGGUAAAGGCCCACCAAGGCGACGAUCCGUAGCUGGUCUGAGAGGAUGAUCAGCCACACUGGAACUGAGACACGGUCCAGACUCCUACGGGAGGCAGCAGUGGGGAAUAUUGGACAAUGGGCGCAAGCCUGAUCCAGCCAUACCGCGUGGGUGAAGAAGGCCUUCGGGUUGUAAAGCCCUUUUGUUGGGAAAGAAAAGCAGCAGGUUAAUACCCCGCUGUUCUGACGGUACCCAAAGAAUAAGCACCGGCUAACUUCGUG
Molecule: ribosomal RNA, 492 nt
Filed under: uncultured bacterium
Lineage: Bacteria
Description: partial 16S ribosomal RNA
Rfam family: Bacterial small subunit ribosomal RNA
Source: RNAcentral